GAGACAGCAGUAGCCGCGGGAAUACGUAGGGUGCGAGCGUUAAUCGGAAUUACUGGGCGUAAAGCGUGCGCAGGCGGUUCGUUAAGACAGAUGUGAAAUCCCCGGGCUUAACCUGGGAACUGCAUUUGUGACUGACGGGCUAGAGUAUGGCAGAGGGGGGUAGAAUUCCACGUGUAGCAGUGAAAUGCGUAGAGAUGUGGAGGAAUACCGAUGGCGAAGGCAGCCCCCUGGGCCAAUACUGACGCUCAUGCACGAAAGCGUGGGGAGCAAACAGGAUUAGAUACCCCCGUAGUCCCUGUCUCUUAUAC
This 308-nucleotide ribosomal RNA is filed under the name uncultured bacterium. RNAcentral's name for it is "partial 16S ribosomal RNA". It matches the Rfam family "Bacterial small subunit ribosomal RNA", at positions 505 to 807 of the family's 1533-position model. The record is from RNAcentral.